Molecule: long non-coding RNA, 426 nt
Filed under: Brassica napus (rape)
Lineage: Eukaryota; Viridiplantae; Streptophyta; Magnoliopsida; Brassicales; Brassicaceae
Description: long non-coding RNA (BNAP_LNC014154)
Source: RNAcentral
AGGAAUAUGGGGUUUGGGGUUUCGGAUUUGGGGUUUGGGGUUUGGGUUUUGGGUUUUGGGGUUUGGGGUUUGGUGUUUCGGGUUUGGGGUUUGGGGUUUGGGAUUUGGGGUUUGGGGUUUGGGUUUGGGGUUUCGGAUUUUAGGGAUUUAAACAUAACACUCGUUAAUUCCACGUAAGCAGAAAUCGUCGUAAACACCACAUAAGCAGAAAUCGUCGUAAAUAUCUCGUAGUGUGAAAACUAGCAAAAAAAGAAAAAGGAGAAAAAUACCAGAUUCACAUGUGGCAAGACUUCCGGCAACGAUAAUACGUAAGUCUCGCCCACAUGAAUUCUAAUAUCUUCUCCUUUUCCCUUUUUUUUAAAUAUUUAUAAUUUGAAUAGGAUUUUGUUGAGGAAUGUGAUUUGAGAUAGGGUGUGAUUUGGGAGU